Molecule: small nuclear RNA, 107 nt
Organism: Callithrix jacchus (white-tufted-ear marmoset)
Lineage: Eukaryota; Metazoa; Chordata; Mammalia; Primates; Cebidae
Source: Ensembl
AUGCUCGCUUCGGCAGCACAUAUACUAAGAUUGGAACGAUACAGAGAAGAUUAGCAUGGCCCCUGCGCAAGGAUGACGUGCAAAUUCGUGAAGCGUUCCAAAAAAAA